CAAAGUUCAGAGUCGCCAUAGAUAAAAAAUACCAUACAAAGUGGGUAUUGGCUAAGGUUCUUUGAAGCCUCAAACGCGAGAGAGAGGCAACCAUGGCAAUCCUCGCGCUCCCUUUAGUCAUCUCCUUUCUAAAGCCCCAAGCAGCCCGCCUCUCCUUCCUUCGCUUAUCUGCUAGAACAAAACCUAGCUGCCUCGGCUUCAAUCACCGCCACUUCACUAGAACCUCUGUCUCUGCAAUCAGCACCUCUGCAGCUCCACAACAUUCUUCAACUGACCCCAACAAUAAGCCCCUAAAAACAUCUGUCCCUACGUUUCAACAAGCCAUUCAGCGACUCCUGGAAUAUUGGGCUUCGGUUGGAUGUGCAGUAAUGCAAUGCAGCAACACAGAGGUUGGAGCUGGGACUAUGAAUCCUCUAACCUUCUUAAGGGUUCUUGGCCCAGAACCAUGGAAUGUGGCGUAUGUGGAGCCUAGUAUCCGUCCAGAUGAUAGUCGUUAUGGGGAAAACCCAAACCGCCUUCAGCGCCAUACUCAAUUUCAGGUUAUACUAAAACCCGAUCCUGGAAAUUCACAAGACCUCUUUAUUCGUAGCCUAUCAGCUUUAGGUAUUGAUGUUAGUGAACAUGACAUCCGAUUUGUGGAGGACAAUUGGGAGAGCCCAGUACUUGGUGCUUGGGGUUUGGGUUGGGAAAUCUGGAUGGAUGGGAUGGAGAUCACUCAGUUCACCUACUUUCAGCAGGCUGGAAGUCUUCAAUUGGCACCAAUAUCUGUUGAAAUCACUUAUGGUCUUGAGCGGAUACUCAUGUUGCUUCAGGGAGUUGACCAUUUUAAGAAAAUUCAAUAUGCCAAUGGGAUUACAUAUGGGGAGCUGUUCUUGGAAAAUGAUUCUCUUUCAGGAAGGAAAUGAGUGCAUAUUAUUUAGAGCAUGCUAGUGUUCAUCAUGUUCAAAAGCACUUCGAUUUUUUUGAGGAAGAAGCUCGUUCCUUGCUUGCUUCUGGCCUUGCAAUACCUGCGUAUGAUCAGCUUCUGAAGACAUCUCAUGCUUUCAAUAUCUUGGAUUCUAGAGGUUUUGUUGGGGUAACUGAGCGUGCUCGUUAUUUUGGUCGAAUGCGUAGUUUAGCUCGGCAAUGUGCCCAACUUUGGUUAAAGACCAGGGAGUCCCUUGAACAUCCACUUGGUACUGUUUCUGAAACCAUUCAUCUUGAAUGCGCUAAGGAUGUUCUGGAGGCAGCAGCCAAGAAGGUUCAUGACAACCCAAGAUCAUUUGUUCUUGAAAUUGGGACUGAAGAGAUGCCUCCUCAAGAUGUAGUUCAUGCAAGCCAGCAACUUAAAGAUUUAGUGUUGCAAUUAUUAGAAAAACAAAGAUUGGGCCAUGGUAAAGUGCAAGCUUUCGGCACUCCCCGCCGAUUAGUGGUUUAUAUUGAGAGUCUUUGCACUAGGCAAGCAGAGAAUGAAGUUGAAGUUCGAGGACCUCCUGUUUUAAAGGCCUUUGAUGAACAGGGAAAUCCUACAAAGGCUGCUGUGGGUUUUUGCCGUAGAUACAAUGUGUCAGUGGACUCAUUGUUUAGAAAGGUAGAUGGAAAAAUGGAAUAUAUUUAUGUCCGUAUAACAGAAGCUGCUCGACUUGCUUUGAAGAUUCUAUCUGAAGAUUUGCCUGUUACUAUCAGUAAAAUAUCAUUCCCAAAGGCAAUGCGCUGGAACUCUCAGGUCAUGUUCAGCAGGCCAAUUCGUUGGAUUAUGGCCUUGCAUGGAGAUGUGGUGGUUCCAUUUGCAUUUGCUGGAGUUUUGAGCGGUAACAUAUCUUAUGGCCUUCGCAAUACUCCUUCAGCUACUGUUCAGGUAUGUAUAAAACUAUGUUCAGAAUUUUCUGAGCUCCCCUUGCUUGUCAAAUGAAGUACUAAGUAUAAUGCUUUGGAUUAUGCAUACGCCAGAAAGCAAUGUGAAAAAACUUGCAGAAAAAUCCUGCACCCAUACUCUAAAAGUGCAUCUAACUAAAUCUCAACACAUACUCCAUGAGUUGAGGGGGAAAUCUGUUGGGUUACUGUUUCCUCUUGGUUCAUCAUUUUUAUUCUUCCCAUUUCAAAUGGCUUCUCUCCUUUUCCUUCUUUAUAAUGACUGAAAUAGUGAAGGCUGUGAAGCCAUUCUAUGAGUCUUGUUUCUUUGGUCUACAGAAGAGAUGUACAAGUAGUGUAAAUUUUAGAGCUUUGUUAAAUUUGUUACAUGUAAGUUCAUUAUAUACAUUUAUCUUGUUCAUCCACUAGCAUAUGUUGUUCUGCUCAAGUGUUCAAUUCACAACCACAAAAAUUUUCACAGGUUGAAAGUGCGGAAUCUUAUGAAAGUGUAAUGCAGAAUGCUGGUAUUUUUAUUGAAAUUGAGGUAUCAUAGAAUGGUUGGUGGCAUUUUGUUUUGCUUCCCCCUCUUUCAAAAUGGUUUAGAUUUAGACUAAAUAGACUUGGGAUUAGAAUGAAAUUUUAUUUUUGCCCUCAGGAAUGAAAGUUUAUUUUUAUCAUCAGGAACGAAAGAAAAGUAUCUUGGAGCGCUCCAAGGCACUGUCAGAAAGUGUCAAUGGACAUGUCCUUAUUCAGGAAAGCUUACUUAAUGAGGUUGUAAAUCUGGUUGAGGCACCUGUUCCAGUACUAGGGAAGUUUAAAGGGUCCUUCUUAGAGCUUCCAGAAGAUCUUCUAACAAUGGUUAUGCAGAAGCACCAAAAGUAUUUUGCUGUAGUUGAUGAUAGUGGAAAGCUUCUGCCACACUUCAUUGCUGUGGCAAAUGGAGUUAUCAAUGAGACGGUAGUAAGAAAAGGGAAUGAAGCUGUGCUAAGAGCUCGUUAUGAAGAUGCAAAAUUUUUUUAUGAGAUGGACACCCGUAAGAAGUUCUCAGAGUUCAGGAGUCAACUAAAAGGGAUUCUUUUUCAUGAGAAGCUUGGAACAAUGCUUGACAAGACUAUGCGCAUUGAAAACAUGGUCACCAAACUAAGUCUACAGUUGGGGAUCAGGGAGGAUAUGCUUCAGAUUGUCCAGGAUGCUGCAUCACUUGCUAUGUCAGAUCUUGCUACUGCAGUUGUAACAGAAUUCACUUCCCUUUCUGGAAUAAUGGCACGCCAUUAUGCUCUUAGAGAUGGCUGCUCAGAGCAGGUCCUUCAAUUCACUCAUGUGUAUUUGUCUUCUGAUAUUGAAGGAAAUAGUCUUCUAGCAAUGCAUGAGGGGGGUAGCAGAUGUCUAUCCUCCCCAAAAGCUUGCAAUAUGGGAAGCCUCAUGAAUUGGAAGAUUGGAACACCUUUUUGUUUCAAAUAUUUCAUAUAGGGCUUGUCAUCCCUUUCCUUCAUCAGCAUUUGUGUUGUGGAACCCAUAGUUCAUGUUUCCUAUGGAAUAUCAGUUUCAUGCUGUAUAUUUUUACAGUUUAACCAUGUUUCUUUCUUUGUUUUUCUUUCCAUUGUUGCAGAUAGCAGAGGCCUUGUUAGAAAUCACACUUCCUAGAUUUUCUGGAGAUGUGCUUCCAAAGACUGCAGUGGGGAUAUCUUUGGCGGUUGCUGACAGAUUAGAUAGCCUUAUUGGCUUAUUUGCUGCCGGUUGUCAGCCUAGUUCCACUAAUGAUCCAUUUGGCCUGCGGAGAAUUUCUUAUGGCCUAGUUCAAAUAUUGGUGGUAAAGGAUAAAAAUUUGGAUUUGCUCCAGGCUUUAAGACUUAAAGCUGACAGCCUAUUAAAGCUGAUGCCUGCACAAUAAAUGAUGUAAGAACAAGUUCCUUUUGAAUUAUUAUGAAUUUUAUUUUCUCUGUCAUCAAGUCCAUUGUUAUGAUUAAUUCUGAACACAACUUCCAAAAGCAUCCUUGGCACUAUGAUAUUAUUUCCCUAGCUGAUCCCCCCUCCCCCUCUUCAUAACAUCUCUUCCACCAACUUUUCAUAAGACUCCCUUAAUGAGAGAUACACGCAUAUCUAUCUACCAGCAAACAAAAGGUAGAUCAUCAGCAAAUUGCAAAUCUCUUGUUCAUUUGAGGCAUCAUUUUCAAUGAACUUUUUUCGAGCCAAAUUCUUAUAUAUUAGAAUAUGAGAUAAAGUCAAGCAUAUGUGCACAUAGAAAAUGCACAGAAAAACACACACACGCUGAUGGGAGUGUGAGCUUGCCACACCACUUUAUGUUUAAACUUGCUUCAUGAAUGACUACAGAAUACUGUGCAGAUGGAUUAGAUAUGAGACUGCCCAUUCUGGUUGGUCUCCAAAUAAUACACCUCUUUUUGGCCACAUGCUACCUUAAUUUCUCUUAAUCCUGUGAAAAUCACGAAACAUUAGAAAGCAAAACCUUUCUCAUAAUCAUCUUCUGAUUUCUCAGGUUCUUCAUUCAGUAGUGUUGGAUUAUGUUGCUUACCAUUUGUUAUAUGUUUACUUCCUGGUUCCAUUUAGUAUUAUUCUCUUUCUUUGCUUAUCAUUACAUCACAUGCAUGUACAGUCGUACACAUAUAUUUCCCCCCUUAUAUUUGGACUCUCAUGCUUGUAUUUUUUUUUUUAUUAUUGUUUACUGGAAUAUGGCAAUUGAAUGUGAUGAUUGAAAUCCUCUUUUAGGUAUAUCUAUUUGUUACUUGAAGACUAGAGCAAUAUCUGGUAAGUGUGCCCUUUUUUUGGUAUAACUGGCUCCAACCGGGUAACUGUGCCUUUGACAUCAAAGAGUGCUAAGCUAGUUUAUUACUUGGUGUAUUUUUCUACUUGAUUUUAUUAUGAGAUUUUGAAAGCCAGGGGUGUGCAGUCAGUCAGUUCUGUUCCAAACCGAACCUAAAUAACCAAAAAAAUUGAAUAAUAAAUAAUAAUAAAUGAACUGAAAUAUGGGUUGAACAAAACCAAACUGAAAUUUUUUGCUUGCUUCGGUUAGGUUUAUUGGUUUGGGUCUAUUUUAUUGGGCCUUUUGAAUUUUUAUUUUUUGGGCUUACUAUAAAUUCCAUAAAUUACACAUUACAUAAAAGCCCAUAAAAAGUAAAAAAAGGUCAUAAAUCAGAAAAUAGGUUGGCUCGGUUUUUAUUUUCUUUUUAAUAUGAAAAUAACCAAACUAAACCGAAAACUGAACUUUUUAAAAAAUAAUAACUGAAACACAAUUAAAAUGGUUCGGUUCGGUUUGGUUUUUCUGUUAUAAUCGAUUUUUUCUCUACCCUAUUGAAAACAAUUACUGGACAAAAAAGCUGAACAGAAAAAUCAAAGUUACAUCACUUCUCAUUUAAUGCUUUAUCUGCACAGUAUGAUGAAGUGCAAAUCUUAUCAAUAAGAAAGGUAAAGAGAAAAUGAAGGCAGACAGCAAAAGGGAAAAAUAAAAGUAAAGAAAAUCUAAACUGAAAUAAAAAUUGCUAAACGAACUGUAUCAGUCACAAGUUCCAAGCAAUUCAAGAUGGUCUCCUUUUAAUGUCAUUCUUCCAUUUGUUCCAAAAAUUGAUGACAAAAGAGUUCUGUGGGAAAGUGAAAUAUAGGCCUCUAAACUAUUCUCAGUUUUAGAUUUUCACAUAUUACAGGUGGUUGUCUGCAUCUUUUCUCUUUUUAUGCUUUAUGGUUUCUGGUCAUAUAAUUCAUGCAACUUCAAAGAUUGUUUAGUUGCUGUUGCAUAAUGAUAUUGGUCAAGAUAACAGUGUUAUGAGAAUAUCUUAUUCAUAUUGGGGUGUUUCCAGGUGGAUAAGGGAAUAAGUCCAGAAAUUGUUGUGUCCCUGCAGAGCAUGCAUCCUUACCUUGUCUAGCACCAAAAACAGCAUAUAAAAUGGAAGCCUUGUCAGGAGGUGAUAUGUUCCCAAAAGUAGUUGAAGCUUAUUCUCAUCCUAGGAGAAUUGUCCGUGAAAAGGAUGUAGCCAGGAAUUUCUUGGUGCCUCUCUGUAUGCCUUUUUAAAAUUUUAAGAGGACGAAAGUUACCAAUAUGAGAACUUGUUCUGUGAUAUGCGUGAAUGAUUCUUUUCGUGUUUAAUGAGCAUGGGAAUAAAGAAACAAAAAGAUGAUGUUAUAUCUCAUUUUUUAAUUGUUUUGAAUGAUGUAUCAAUUUCUUGACCUAAAAAUUGGUUUCAGAUGGAAGCCUUGUCAAGAGGCAAUAUUUUCCCAAAGGUAGUUGAAGCUUAUUCUCGUCCUACAAGAAUUGUGCGUGGAAAGGAUGUGGACUCUGAUAUGGAGGUGGAUGAGGCUGCAUUUGAGACAUCUGAAGAGAGAGCUUUAUGGAACGUCUUCUUGUCCACAAAAAGCAAAAUUUAUCCUGGUAUAAAAAUUUUCUUCAUUACAUUAUAAUUCUCCCAUAGGACUGAGGGAUAAUUUUUGCAAGGCAUGUUGCUUUUGGAUUCUAAAUGGUUAGCAUUUUCUUUUCAACCUGGAAAUUGACCAACCGUUCUUACAGGCAUUGAGGUAGAUGAGUUUGUUGAAAUAUCUUCAGAACUUCUACAGCCACUCGAGGAUUUCUUCAAUAAUGUCGUUGUCAUGGUGGUGUGUCUUUUGCAGAACUAACUUUCCCAUUAAAAAAAAAAAAAAAGAAACUACAUCUGUUACUGGAGAUUACAAUUCGGAACAUAAUGAGGUUCUGGUGAUCGUCUAUUCUAUGGCCUGACCUGAUGUUAACUGCAUAGUCGUAUCAUGCAUGGAUCCAUAUUUGGACACAUAAUCGUUUUUCAUUUGUGCAUUAUUAGCCACUCAAAAGAAUUUUAGACCAACUUUUUUAACUAUUCAUUUGUGUAAACCAUGAUCGGUGAAAAUCCAUUAUUUGAGCCUUUAUUUUAAUUGGAUUGAAUAUCCUAGCCCAAAAUAAGCUGCUUGUAGUUGGAGUUUGAGCAAUGCAAGAUCAGACCAAAUCUUUAU
RNAcentral lists this unclassified non-coding RNA (6798 nucleotides) under Hevea brasiliensis (rubber tree). The record is from RNAcentral. Lineage: Eukaryota; Viridiplantae; Streptophyta; Magnoliopsida; Malpighiales; Euphorbiaceae.